This 484-nucleotide ribosomal RNA is filed under the name uncultured bacterium. RNAcentral describes it as "partial 16S ribosomal RNA". It matches the Rfam family "Bacterial small subunit ribosomal RNA", at positions 30 to 507 of the family's 1533-position model. The record is from RNAcentral.
AUUGAACGCUGGCGGCAGGCCUAACACAUGCAAGUCGAGCGGAUGAAGCGAGCUUGCUCCUGGAUUCAGCGGCGGACGGGUGAGUAAUGCCUAGGAAUCUGCCUCCUAGUUUGGGAUAACGUCCGGACACGGGCGCUAAUACCGCAUACGUCCUGAGGGAGAAAGUGGGGGAUCUUCGGACCUCGCGCUAUCAGAUGAGCCUAGGUCGGAUUAGCUAGUUGGUGGGGUAAAGUCGUACCAAGGCGACGAUCCGUAACUGGUCUGAGAGGAUGAUCAGUAACACUGGAAUGGAAACACGGUCCAGACUCCUCCGGGAGGCAGCGGUGGGGAAGAGUGGACAAUGGGCGGAAGCCUGACCCAACCAAGCCGCGUGUGUGAAGAAGGUCUUCGGAUUGUAAAGCACUUUACGUUGGGAGGAAAGGCAGUAAGUUAAUACCUGGCUGUGUUGACGGUACCAACAGAAGAAGCACCGGCUAACUUCGUG